UACGUAGGGGGCGAGCGUUGUCCGGAUUUAUUGGGCGUAAAGAGCGUGUAGGCGGCCAGGUAGGUCUGGUGUGAAAACUCGAGGCUUAACCUUGAGAUGUCAUCGGAAACCAUUUGGCUAGAGUCCGGAAGAGGAAAGUGGAAUUCCUGGUGUAGUGGUGAAAUGCGUAGAGAUCGGGAGGAACACCAGUGGCGAAGGCGGCUUGCUGGGCCGGACCUGGACGCUGAGACGCGAAGGCGUGGGGAGCGAACGGG
RNAcentral lists this ribosomal RNA (254 nucleotides) under uncultured bacterium. Its description in RNAcentral is "partial 16S ribosomal RNA". It matches the Rfam family "Bacterial small subunit ribosomal RNA", at positions 524 to 776 of the family's 1533-position model. The record is from RNAcentral.